GACGAACGCUGGCGUUGUGCUUAACACAUGCAAGUCGAACGGAAAGGCCCUGCUUUUGUGGGGUGCUCGAGUGGCGAACGGGUGAGUAACACGUGAGUAACCUGCCCUUGACUUUGGGAUAACUUCAGGAAACUGGGGCUAAUACCGGAUAGGAGCUCCUGCUGCAUGGUGGGGGUUGGAAAGUUUCGGCGGUUGGGGAUGGACUCGCGGCUUAUCAGCUUGUUGGUGGGGUAGUGGCUUACCAAGGCUUUGACGGGUAGCCGGCCUGAGAGGGUGACCGGCCACAUUGGGACUGAGAUACGGCCCAGACUCCUACGGGAGGCAGCAGUGGGGAAUAUUGCACAAUGGGCGGAAGCCUGAUGCAGCAACGCCGCGUGCGGGAUGACGGCCUUCGGGUUGUAAACCGCUUUCGCCUGUGACGAAGCGUGAGUGACGGUAAUGGGUAAAGAAGCACCGGCUAACUACGUGCCAGCAGCCGCGGUGAUACGUAGGGUGCGAGCGUUGUCCGGAUUUAUUGGGCGUAAAGGGCUCGUAGGUGGUUGAUCGCGUCGGAAGUGUAAUCUUGGGGCUUAACCCUGAGCGUGCUUUCGAUACGGGUUGACUUGAGGAAGGUAGGGGAGAAUGGAAUUCCUGGUGGAGCGGUGGAAUGCGCAGAUAUCAGGAGGAACACCAGUGGCGAAGGCGGUUCUCUGGGCCUUUCCUGACGCUGAGGAGCGAAAGCGUGGGGAGCGAACAGGCUUAGAUACCCUGGUAGUCCACGCUGUAAACGGUGGGUACUAGGUGUGGGGUCCAUUCCACGGGUUCCGUGCCGUAGCUAACGCUUUAAGUACCCCGCCUGGGGAGUACGGCCGCAAGGCUAAAACUCAAAGGAAUUGACGGGGCCCCGCACAAGCGGCGGAGCAUGCGGAUUAAUUCGAUGCAACGCGUAGAACCUUACCUGGGUUUGACAUGGAUCGGGAGUGCUCAGAGAUGGGUGUGCCUCUUUUGGGGUCGGUUCACAGGUGGUGCAUGGCUGUCGUCAGCUCGUGUCGUGAGAUGUUGGGUUAAGUCCCGCAACGAGCGCAACCCUUGUUCACUGUUGCCAGCACGUUAUGGUGGGGACUCAGUGGAGACCGCCGGGGUCAACUCGGAGGAAGGUGGGGAUGACGUCAAGUCAUCAUGCCCCUUAUGUCCAGGGCUUCACGCAUGCUACAAUGGCUGGUACAGAGAGUGGCGAGCCUGUGAGGGUGAGCGAAUCUCGGAAAGCCGGUCUCAGUUCGGAUUGGGGUCUGCAACUCGACCUCAUGAAGUCGGAGUCGCUAGUAAUCGCAGAUCAGCAACGCUGCGGUGAAUACGUUCCCGGG
RNAcentral lists this ribosomal RNA (1343 nucleotides) under uncultured bacterium. RNAcentral's name for it is "16S ribosomal RNA". It matches the Rfam family "Bacterial small subunit ribosomal RNA", at positions 28 to 1378 of the family's 1533-position model. The record is from RNAcentral.